Molecule: long non-coding RNA, 429 nt
Organism: Xyrauchen texanus (razorback sucker)
Lineage: Eukaryota; Metazoa; Chordata; Actinopteri; Cypriniformes; Catostomidae
Exons: 3
Source: RefSeq, a predicted model, not a curated record
GAGGAAAGGCUGCGGAACGUCAGGAAACGGCUGAGAUCAACCAGCAGGCGGCGAAGCACGGCACCGACACCACCACAAACGCCACAUGAUGGCGCCCUUGCAAGGGCUCUUAUACCAGAAUGUACCAUAUCAGACGAACGUGCAUCACAGCUUAAAGAAUGGUUGAGAAACAAUUCUCAGCCCCUCAGCCAGAUAGAGUCCUACAUGGAGAACACGGCAGUCUACAGGGCCAAGUGGAUUAGGGACAACAAUUGGACCAUCGAUCAGAUCCUCGAAGAGUUCCCUCGCCUAAUGACCAAAGGCAUGAUUGCACAGGACUUUCUUGUCCUGCAUGGGGAUGCUGCUUCAAAAUUGUUUGAAAAGUGGCUACCCAUUUAUGCUGACAAGAUCCUGUUCCUGGCAAGACAGGAGGGGAAGUUGACAUUGCCC